ACUCCUACGGGAGGCAGCAGUGGGGAAUAUUGCACAAUGGGGGAAACCCUGAUGCAGCCAUGCCGCGUGUGUGAAGAAGGCCUUCGGGUUGUAAAGCACUUUCAGUAGGGAGGAAGGUAGUGUAGUUAACACCUGCAUUAUUUGACGUUACCUACAGAAGAAGCACCGGCUAACUCCGUGCCAGCAGCCGCGGUAAUACGGAGGGUGCGAGCGUUAAUCGGAAUUACUGGGCGUAAAGCGCAUGCAGGCGGCCUGUUAAGUCAGAUGUGAAAGCCCGGGGCUUAACCUCGGAAUUGCAUUUGAAACUGGCAGGCUAGAGUCUUGUAGAGGGGGGUAGAAUUUCAGGUGUAGCGGUGAAAUGCGUAGAGAUCUGAAGGAAUACCAGUGGCGAAGGCGGCCCCCUGGACAAAGACUGACGCUCAGAUAGCGAAAGCGUGGGGAGCAAAACAGGAUUAGAUACCCUGGUAGCUUCGAC
RNAcentral lists this ribosomal RNA (475 nucleotides) under uncultured bacterium. RNAcentral's name for it is "bacterial SSU rRNA". It matches the Rfam family "Bacterial small subunit ribosomal RNA", at positions 335 to 801 of the family's 1533-position model. The record is from RNAcentral.